UUCUGGCUCAGGAUGAACGCUGGCGGCGUGCUUAACACACGCAAGUCGAACGAAGCUAAGGGAGCUUGCUCCAAGCUUAGUGGCGGACGGGUGAGUAACGCGUGGGUAACCUGCCCUAUAGAGGGGGAUAACGUUCGGAAACGAACGCUAAUACCGCAUAAACCAUAAGGAGCUGCAUGGCUCUGAUGGCAAAGAUUUAUCGCUAUAGGAUGGACCUGCGUUGGAUUAGCUAGUUGGUGAGAUAACAGCUCACCAAGGCGACGAUCCAUAGCCGGCCUGAGAGGGUGAACGGCCACAUUGGGACUGAGACACGGCCCAAACUCCUACGGGAGGCAGCAGUGGGGAAUAUUGCACAAUGGGCGCAAGCCUGAUGCAAGCGACGCCGCGUGAAGGAAGAAGGUCUUCGGAUUGUAAACUUCUAUCAGCAGGGAAGAAUAAAUGACGGUACCUGACUAAGAAGCCCCGGCUAACUACGUGCCAGCAGCUGC
Molecule: ribosomal RNA, 488 nt
Filed under: uncultured bacterium
Lineage: Bacteria
Description: bacterial SSU rRNA
Rfam family: Bacterial small subunit ribosomal RNA
Source: RNAcentral